AGGUGAAGGUCAAAUUCGAAACAGGUGCACGUUAGACGACGCGACAGUUACUAACACGCGUACACGUUGAGCCGCAACAAAUAUCGAGCAAUGGAGAACUUCAAACCCUUUCCCGGAUUUGGCACUCAGGCAACUCAUGUAGGGCAGGAGCCGGAGAAAUGGAACUCGAGGGCUGUAGUUCCACCUAUCUCUAUGUCAACAACGUUUAAACAGAAGGGACCGGGAGACCACCAUGGUUUUGAAUACUCCAGGAGUGGAAACCCUACCAGGAACUGUCUGGAAGAAUGCUUAGCAGCCUUAGAAGGUGGAAAACAUGCACUGGUCUUUGCCUCUGGUUUAGCCACUACAACAGCUAUCACAUAUCUACUACAGUCUGGAGACCAUAUUGUCAGCAUGGAUGAUUUAUACGGAGGUACAAAUCGAUAUUUUAAGAAGUGUGCCACUAGGAUGGGCAUCGAAACAUCAUUCGUAGACUGCACUGUUAUUGACAAUAUAAAGAAAUCCCUGAGACCAAACACCAAGAUGGUUUGGCUGGAGACUCCAACCAACCCAACGCUGAGAAUUGUGGACAUCGCUAAGGCGGUGAAAGUCGUCAAAGAAAACAACAAAGACAUCUUUGUGGUAGUAGACAACACAUUCAUGUCCUCAUAUUUCCAGCGACCUUUAGAUUUUGGUGCGGACAUGGUUAUGCAUUCCCUUACAAAGUAUAUGAAUGGGCAUUCUGAUGCUGUGAUGGGGGCAGCAAUAUUAAAUGAUGAUGGUUUAUGCCAAAGACUCCGGUUCCUCCAAAAUGCAUUUGGAGCAGUUCCCUCCCCUUUUGACAGCUUCCUUGUGAACAGAGGUCUGAAAACUCUACACGUCAGAAUGAAGGAGCACAUGAAGAAUGGACUAGCUGUGGCCAAAUUCCUAGAAUCUCAUCCUUGUGUAGAGAAAGUUCUUCAUCCAGGUCUUCCCUCUCAUCCACAACAUGAACUGGCAAAGAAACAGAUGAGGGGUUUCAGUGGGAUGGUGACAUUUUACAUUAAAGGGGGGAUUAAAGAGGCUUCUGAAUUCCUGAAAAAUGUCAAGAUUUUCACGCUGGCAGAAAGUUUGGGUGGAUUUGAAAGUCUCUGUGAACUUCCGUCUGUGAUGACGCAUGCCUCUGUGCCUGAGGAUGAACGUGACAAGCUCGGUAUUUCGGACAAUCUCAUUCGACUCUCUGUAGGAAUCGAGGAUGAGGAGGAUCUGAUUGAGGACUUGGACCAGGCUCUGAAUGCAGCAACUGGGACCCCAUCCCAUAAAAAGAGGAAGAUUGCAGAGUAGUGAUGGCAGUAUAGAGCAGAGAAAACAGCUGGUUUGAAACACAUGCAACCUGUGAUCAUCACUGACAAUACGAAACCUUCAUCUCUGAAGCAAUGACGAGAAAGAUGAAAAGACCUUAAAGUAGAUUGAAAAACACAAGGAAUGUAAGGUGUAUUAAUUCUUAUAACUUGUACAAAUUUUUCAUAGAAGUACUGUGGCAGAAUUCAGAAUCUCAUCAAGAUGGACAGUUUUUCUACAGAAUACAUUGAUUGCUUUUUCCCUCACAAGUGCUUGUACCUACACUUUGAUAAUGAUAAUAGUAGAUAAAAAGCUUCAAAUAGAUCUCCUAUUCACUGUCAUUAUACUACAGUAUUUCCACUGGAAAGUGUGACAGAUUUGAGUUUGUGGUUUAUCUUUUGUGAAUUAUGAGAAUGAAAAUGUUCGAUGUUACAUCUUUUUCCAUUUGAUAAUGCAAUAUGUAUGGAUGGAUUUAUUUCUAUUUCUUCUUUAAAGAAGGAUUUCAGUGCUGUAUUUUUUAGUUUGAUCGUUGGAUAUUUUUAAAUAUCAGGUUUAUGAAGUACCUGUGAAUUUACACUACUGUACAGCUGAUCUCUUUGUUAUCUGAAUUGUGUAGGAGAGCAAAACUUGAAACAAGAAUCUCAAAUUAGAAAACGAUUUUAUUUUAAAUUUGCAUUUUAUCUUUGUGAUUUCUGAAACCUUUGUAGACAGUGUAUGUAUUGUAAGUGAAACAUUGUACUAUAUUGAAUCCCAGAAAGUAUUUUAUUAUAUAAUAGGUACAUGUUUGGAUUUUGAUUUGAAAUCAAUUGAUGGUAGUCCCAUGUCUUUUAGAGAGUAUUAAAUGUGGAGUUGUUUGUAUGUAAUGACAUGCAUAUACUAUAGUAUAGAUCAAUGAAAUGACUUUUCAUGAAUGGAGAAUAAAAUCAGUGAAACAAUAAUUUUUUUUUAAACAUU
RNA transcript from Ostrea edulis (European flat oyster), 2253 nucleotides. It is a transcript of the gene named cystathionine gamma-lyase-like, with no coding region annotated. Lineage: Eukaryota; Metazoa; Mollusca; Bivalvia; Ostreida; Ostreidae. The transcript has 14 exons. The record is from RefSeq and is a predicted model, not a curated record.